GAUAUAUAGUUGUUGGUGUUUAAUUAAGUAUAAAGGUAAAGGUUUAUAUGCAAAGUUAUUUUAUAGUUUGGGCCUUUAUAGAAUAUAAGCUUGUGAGGGGGGUGGUAAGUAAAUUUUAAAAAGGUUUAAAGGUGAGUCAUCAACUCUCUUUUUCCUUUGCAAUACACGUGCCCCACCAAAAAAUUUCUCCCUAAUCUCUUUGUUGCUGCACCAGAAUACUCUUUGUUCUUUCUUUGCUCUUGAAUCAGCAGCACCUCUCUCUCUCACUCUCUCAUAAACAGCCCUCCCUCUUUCACUGAAACCAUAUAUCUCUCAACUUCAAAAUAUUUGCCCUAAGGUUUCAGCUUCAAGGUUUGUGGGUGUUACUAGUACUUAAGUCUAAACUCCUUCGACUGUAGGCUUUCGGUUCCUCUGCUUUCAGGUAAGAGAUAAGUUAUACGAGCAUUUGGUAAGUCAUGAGUUUAUUUUAUAUGCAUUAAAAGGUUUUUGAUUAGAGGUAUGACAUAUAAUCAUGUUUUAGACAAAGAUAUGUUCGUGAGUUUUUGAAACCUUAUGUAUAUGAUUUAAACAUAUUGAUGCUAUUACCAAUUCCAUGAGCAUGAAGUUUAAAGAAAAGAAUGGAAAUGCUAUUAUUAUGAAAUGCUAUGCAAAAUAAGAAUUUUAAGUAUGAUGUAUAAGUAUGAAAUGUUUUCAGGUUAUGUCCUCUGGUGAUUUGAACUUAGCCAGUAGGGGUUAAAUUACUGGUUUUCCACGGAAAAUGUUAUCUGAUUGGCCAUUAAAAGUGUAGAGCUCUAUUGUACCCGCCCUUAUUGGUAAUGGCUAACUUGUGAAGGAUGCCAACCUACCCCCAUGGUUGAAAAUAUGUAUUAUGUUGUGAUCCCGGAAUACCUGACAUUGUGGGGAAUGCUGGAUGCCUAGCACAGUGGUGCUAGAAGCCUCCAAAUAAGUACAGACUUAUCAGAUAUGGACUAACCAAUAUGUUAUAAACAGCUAUAUUAUUUUAUUGAUCAUGAGAGAAUGAUUUUGUUUAAAUGCAUUACGAAAAGUUGAAAGCUCUCAUGAAAAAAAAAUUCCUGAUGAAAAGAAAAGUCGUUCUUUAAAUAUAGAAGUUUAUGAAGUUCUAUUAUGUUAAAGAUAAAGCUUCUGAUGAAAGCUUAUGUUAAAAAGUUAUCAGAUAUCUGUUCUUUAAGAAACGUUAAGUUUUAUGACUAUGAAAGUUAUAAUAUUUAUGAAAAGAAGUUUAUAAAGAAAAGUUUUCUUAUUUGUCAAGAUGUUUCUAAUCUAAUACUAUAUAUAAAAGCAGAAGCUUUUAACCAGGUGUUGACACGUUAGCAAAAAUGCCCCCUUCAAAAACUGACACGUAUAGGGUAAUUCUUUUAAAAAAUCAUACGAUGCGUCUGAAAGACUCUUUUUCAGACGCCAACCCGCUCACCCAAAAAUAAAAAAACAAAACGCAGACCCUUAUAAAAUAGACCAAGCUGCUUAUCCACAAAAAAAAAAAAAAAAAAAAAAAACAGAAGAAAAGGAAAGACAAAUCCUAAAACCCAAAUCGUAUUUCCCGAUCAAGAUUCAUACUCACUCUAAUUUGCGAUUCUUCACUGCAACUCCAUAUACACACAAAUCAGACUAGCGUGUUCCAACCCAUCAAACAGACGAACAAAAAAAAAGCCUCUGCAAUAGUGAAGUCUGAAAAUCUUUGUUCGUCCUCUGCAACAACAGACGAUUUAGAAUCUAUCCCGUCUCUGCUCUUCAACAACAGAUAAUUCAGAAGUAUAUAAAUGUUGGGGUUGAACGAAAUCUACAAAGGUCUAUAUUCAUUCCUCAUAAAAGGGACAUGAUAAGCAAAAAAUAAGAAGGGGAAAAAAAAUUGGCCGAUUGGAAGGUAGCAGGAACAAAUCUCACAUCAUUCAAAUUCUUCAUUUCUCUGUCUCUCACUUUGUCUCAAAAGGAGGAUAUUUAUUCAUCUACCUUAGCUGAUGUUGAAAAAAUUAGCUGAUGUUGAAUCAACAUCUUCAAGUGGAAUUGGUCGGAUUGUUUUAGAUUUAGAUAUUUGAAUUAGAUUUGGUUUUAAUUAUGGUAUUGGGUUUAAAAUAAAUUAUGUAUUGGGUAUUUGUAUUAGAUUUGGUUUUCUUUUAAAUAA
Long non-coding RNA from Quercus robur (English oak), 2140 nucleotides. RefSeq lists it as uncharacterized. NCBI's taxonomy places the organism in Eukaryota, Viridiplantae, Streptophyta, Magnoliopsida, Fagales, Fagaceae. The record is from RefSeq and is a predicted model, not a curated record. The transcript has 3 exons.